AUUGAACGCUGGCGGCAGGCCUAACACAUGCAAGUCGAGCGCGCGCCGGACGGGUGAGUAAUGUAUGUGGGCUGCCCGUUAGAGGGGGAGAACUACUGGGAACGGUAGCUAAUACCGCGUACUAUCUGAUUGCCCAUAUGUGAUUAGCUAGUGGGUGGGGUAAUGGCGCACCUAGGCGACGCUCCCUAGCUGGUCUGAGAGGAGGAUCAGCCACACGGGAACUGAGACACGGCCCAGACUCCUACGGAGGCAGCAGUGGGGAAUAUUGCACAAUGGGCGCAAGCCUGAUGCAGCCAUGCCGCGUGUAGGAAGAAGGCCCGCGGGUUGUAAAGUACUUUCAGUCGGGAGGCGUUACCGACAGAAGAAGCACCGGCUAACUCCGUGCCAGCAGCCGCGGUAAUAC
This 403-nucleotide ribosomal RNA is filed under the name uncultured bacterium. RNAcentral's name for it is "partial 16S ribosomal RNA". It matches the Rfam family "Bacterial small subunit ribosomal RNA", at positions 30 to 526 of the family's 1533-position model. The record is from RNAcentral.